AUUGAACGCUGGCGGCAGGCUUAACAUAUGCAAGUCGAGCGGGGGAAGGUAGCUUGCUACCGGAGCUUGCGGCGGACGGGUGAGUAAUGCUUAGGAAUAUGCCUAUUAGUGGGGGACAACAUCUCGAAAGGGAUGCUAAUACCGCAUACGUCCAACGGGAGAAAGCAGGGGAUCUUCGGAACUUGCGCUAAUAGAUGAGCCUAAGUCGGAUUAGCUAGUUGGUGGGGUAAAGGCCUACCAAGGCGACGAUCUGUAGCGGGUCUGAGAGGAUGAUCCGCCACACUGGGACUGAGACACGGCCCAGACUCCUACGGGAGGCAGCAGUGGGGAAUAUUGGACAAUGGGGGGAACCCUGAUCCAGCCAUGCCGCGUGUGUGAAGAAGGCCUUAUGGUUGUAAAGCACUUUAAGCGAGGAGGAGGCUACUUUAGUUAAUACCUAGAGAUAGUGGACGUUACUCGCAGAAUAAGCACCGGCUAACUCUGUGCCAGCCGCCGCGGUAA
This 501-nucleotide ribosomal RNA is filed under the name uncultured bacterium. RNAcentral's name for it is "partial 16S ribosomal RNA". It matches the Rfam family "Bacterial small subunit ribosomal RNA", at positions 30 to 523 of the family's 1533-position model. The record is from RNAcentral.